This 497-nucleotide ribosomal RNA is filed under the name uncultured bacterium. Its description in RNAcentral is "partial 16S ribosomal RNA". It matches the Rfam family "Bacterial small subunit ribosomal RNA", at positions 28 to 507 of the family's 1533-position model. The record is from RNAcentral.
GAUGAACGCUGGCGGCGUGCCUAAUACAUGCAAGUCGAGCGAACGGACGAGAAGCUUGCUUCUCUGAUGUUAGCGGCGGACGGGUGAGUAACACGUGGAUAACCUACCUAUAAGACUGGGAUAACUUCGGGAAACCGGAGCUAAUACCGGAUGAUAUUUUGAACCGCAUGGUUCAAAAGUGAAAGACGGUCUUGCUUUCACUUAUAGAUGGAUCCGCGCUGCAUUAGCUAGUUGGUAAGGUAACGGCUUACCAAGGCAACGAUGCAUAGCCGACCUGAGAGGGUGAUCGGCCACACUGGAACUGCGACACGGUCCAGACUCCUACGGGAGGCAGCAGUAGGGAAUCUUCCGCAAUGGGCGAAAGCCUGACGGAGCAACGCCGCGUGAGUGAUGAAGGUCUUCGGAUCGUAAAACUCUGUUAUUAGGGAAGAACAUAUGUGUAAGUAACUGUGCACAUCUUGACGGUACCUAAUCAGAAAGCCACGGCUAACUACGUG